UACCAGCACCUCGAGUGGUCGGGACGAUUAUUGGGCCUAAAGCAUCCGUAGCCGGUUUUACAAGUCCUCCGUUAAAUCCAGCUGCUUAACAGAUGGGCUGCGGAGGAUACUAUAAGACUAGGAGGCAGGAGAGGCAAGCGGUACUCAGUGGGUAGGGGUAAAAUCCGUUGAUCCAUUGAAGACCACCAGUGGCGAAGGCGGCUUGCCAGAAUGCGCUCGACGGUGAGGGAUGAAAGCUGGGGGAGCAAACCGG
This 253-nucleotide ribosomal RNA is filed under the name uncultured bacterium. RNAcentral's name for it is "partial 16S ribosomal RNA". It matches the Rfam family "Archaeal small subunit ribosomal RNA", at positions 474 to 727 of the family's 1478-position model. The record is from RNAcentral.